CACGUAGGGGGCAAGCGUUGUCCGGAAUUACUGGGCGUAAAGGGCGUGCAGGCGGCCCGUCAAGUCCGAUGUGAAAUCCCACGGCUUAACUGUGGGCGUGCAUUGGAAACUGGCAGGCUUGAGGGUAGGAGAGGAGCGUGGAAUUCUCGGUGUAGCGGUGGAAUGCGUAGAUAUCGAGAGGAACACCAGUGGCGAAGGCGACGCUCUGGCCUAACCCUGACGCUGAGACGCGAAAGCCAGGGGAGCAAACGGG
RNAcentral lists this unclassified non-coding RNA (253 nucleotides) under uncultured bacterium. RNAcentral's name for it is "contains 16S-23S intergenic spacer region". It matches the Rfam family "Bacterial small subunit ribosomal RNA", at positions 524 to 776 of the family's 1533-position model. The record is from RNAcentral.